GAUCUGUCAUCAGUAGCUCUUGACACCCCCACCCCAUCCCGUGGCUCACCUGGCUUCCCUGGUGCCACCUCCCCAAACUCUGGGGUGGCGUAGUGGAUCUCCUGGGUGUGUUCUGUCCCUGGGAAAAAGACAAGGCGCAGGAGGGAGUUACUGGGCCAGUUCUUUGCAUCUCUGGCCACACGGGGGCAGUGGCGUCGAGACCGUGGACGUCGCGGAAAGCACUUGCCGUCGUCGGGGACUGUGGGUCGCAAAACGGAAUAAAGAAGGUAUAUGGAAUAAGAUCAGUGCAUAUCAAUGGCCUUCCAUUUGCUGGGAGCUGUUUGGAGGAGGAAGGACUGUGGCACU
RNAcentral lists this long non-coding RNA (345 nucleotides) under Ictidomys tridecemlineatus (thirteen-lined ground squirrel). Its description in RNAcentral is "lncRNA (ENSSTOG00000033520.1)". The record is from RNAcentral. Lineage: Eukaryota; Metazoa; Chordata; Mammalia; Rodentia; Sciuridae.